UUAUUGUAAUUUUUGGAUUGCUGGCACCUGCUUUCUGUCCAUAGUUUUAAAGCUGUGUAUUCUGGCUUGAGUUUCCUCUGGAGGCUGGAUUAGCUGUUUGGCAGGGGUGGCUCUAGCUAGGCAUGUGGCACAGGUACUGUUGUUGCUGCGUGGGGAUCUGUACUUUUGAUAGCUCUGCUUUGUCAGCAAUCCCUGGCAGUGCCCGUUCACUUCAGUGACAGGUUAGGAAGACAUCUUCAAUGAUUAAAUGAAAGAUCCUCUCUGUUCUACCUGCCAAACCCUGCCUGCAGCCCUGGUCACACUGCUUUGUUUCUUCAGUUCUUCUUGGCAUUUAAAAACAAACUAGGCUUUCACUAAAUAAUUUGCUUCUCUUCAGUGGAUACUAGAGUGCUGACUUCCCAGCUCUCCUUAGAUAAAUCUUUCCCUUUCUCAGUUUGGAAGUGCCCAGCUGUCAUCUCCCUCCACCCUUACAUAUCCUGUGUGGUUACAGAAGCUUGCCUUAGGCACAACAUGCCUUACAAUGCUAAGUAUUGCAGGGCCACCAGCAUUGCAAAACUGCCGAGAGGUGGGACAAUUGGCACGAUGCUGUGUGUCUCCUCAAGGACACCAAAAUGAACAUCAAUCCAGGAGUCUUCUGUCUCCCGUACAGGCUACCAGAAACAUCUGAGAUUGCUUACUAUGAAAAGCAGUUUGCUUUUCUCUUUUGAAACACUUAGGAAGAUCCACUUUUCAAUAGAAGCUAUCAGAGCUCUCAUUAACACUAUACAGGUAAAGAAAAUUAAGAUGAAAAGAAUUACUAUCAUUUUCACAAAAAUGUAGAAUGAAUGCAGUAAAGAAACCAUACUGACACAGCUAGCAAUAAUUAGCAGUGACAGAAACUAGACUCACACAAAAUUAUUAUUAUUAUUAUAAAUUUAUUGCAUUAAAUUGAAAUCUUUCACUUUGGAAGCUUACAGUUUUUAUAUAUGUUGAGGUUAGGCUUUGCUGGUUCAUUUUUUUUUUUUUUUUUUUUUUUAUUGAGCACAAAAUUUUUAUAUUUUUAACUGUCAAGAAAGGGGCAAAUCCGUUUGCUAAGUUGCAAAUGUGCAACUGAAGGAGACAUCAGACUCCUGCAAAGGAGACUGAGAAAAAAUAUGGUUCCAGUUCUCCAGCAAAUGAGUCUUUUGAAGAUAUUUAUAAGGACCACAGUAUUUUCAAGAAGAUUAAAGAGAAUGCUAAUUUUCCAAAAGUCAAGUAAAACAGAGUUAAAUUAGUAGUCUGUUCCUACUUUCAUCUGAAUCAAUUCUGAAUCUGAGUAUUAACAAGCAGAAACUGGGAUUGUGAUCACAUGGGAUAUCUGCAGCAGCUGAGCAAGGGAGCUCAAAUCUUCCGACUUCUAGUACUGUGUUUUAACCACAAAAACACUCUUUGCCUAGAAUUGCUCUUUCCUCUCCAGCACAGCAAAGAGCUUCUAUAGAUCCAUGACAGAAAUUCACACAACUGUAUUUCCCCUCUAGUUUUGUUUAUUUAGUUAGCUGGUUGAAAGAAACAAGUUGGUGAUAAAGAUGGUGAUAAAUGAGUGAAAAAGACUAGGCCAGAGGAAACUGUGUUCAAGCCAUCCUACAGAGAAGAUGUUAAAUUUUUGCAGCCAUCCAAAUUCACUACAUCUGAGAAGUCAUUAAUACACUGAACUUGGUGGACUGUGAAAAUUUAACUCAUUUGGUCCAAUGUGUUUACCAAAAUGUAUUUCAAAAGAGUAUGUAAGGAAGGAAGCUAUGUGAGUGAGAGAGAUAGAAAAGCAUUCUGGAGUGCGGCUAUAGGGGCUUCCUAGUUUGUCAUAUGUCCAUUUCUUUUCCUCUAUUUUGAGGAAGAAUUAAGAAUUACUUCCUCAUUUUUAAAGAAUAUCCUUUCUCUGGCUUGUGGUAACAGGUUCAAAGAUUUUAUUGGCAGAUACUUUAUACCAAUGUACCUCCACAAAAAGAAGGCUCCCUUAUUUUUCUAAAUUAACUUUAUUCUUCCCUAA
Long non-coding RNA from Oxyura jamaicensis (ruddy duck), 2002 nucleotides. RefSeq lists it as uncharacterized. The record is from RefSeq and is a predicted model, not a curated record. The transcript has 2 exons. NCBI's taxonomy places the organism in Eukaryota, Metazoa, Chordata, Aves, Anseriformes, Anatidae.